Molecule: long non-coding RNA, 626 nt
Organism: Girardinichthys multiradiatus
Lineage: Eukaryota; Metazoa; Chordata; Actinopteri; Cyprinodontiformes; Goodeidae
Exons: 3
Source: RefSeq, a predicted model, not a curated record
UUUAGUUUAUUCACAUGUGCCCUUUCAUUAGGUGUUUUCCUUAUUAGGUUAUUCUUUUGUGUUUUUGUGCUCUUUUUACAUCUAGAGUUACUUCCUGUUAGAUUUCUGUUAGAUACUUCCCUGUGUUUCUUUGUGUGUUUCAACUCAACUCUGUUCUAGUUAAUUAGUCUACCUCUAUCAGCUGCUCUACCUUUCUGUCUGCCUCAGCUGCAACUCAUUGCCUCUAAUUAGCUCAUCUGGUUUGCCUGUCUUUUUCUCCACCCUGCCUCACUGGUUCUCUUUGCUCUCUACUGGAUUCUUCUGUUUUCCUGACUGUUGUCUGGUCUUUCCAUACUUUUCGACUUUCUUUGCUUCAUGUCCGUUUACUGCAAGCAAGACCAUAUUGUGGUCUGACCUGCGAGUCGCCUCUCCCGGACAUUCCUCCACAGCAGAUCCCAAGCCUUGGACGUGGAGUCCCGCAACUGCUCACUGAUCGACCGCCGCAGCUGUAGCUUACUGCGCGCCCCGGCUGCUCCUGCCGCAGUGACCGUCACCGCUUCACCUGGUCCAGGCUACAGCUCCGCGCUGCGUCACCUCCCUGCACCCGCAGAAAAGGUUCCUUUGGCCAACAAAAACCCCAGAAUUUU